GUGGGGAAUAUUGGACAAUGGGCGAAAGCCUGAUCCAGCCAUGCCGCGUGUGUGAAGAAGGUCUUCGGAUUGUAAAGCACUUUAAGUUGGGAGGAAGGGUAGUAACCUAAUACGUUGCUACUUUGACGUUACCGACAGAAUAAGCACCGGCUAACUUCGUGCCAGCAGCCGCGGUAAUACGAAGGGUGCAAGCGUUAAUCGGAAUUACUGGGCGUAAAGCGCGCGUAGGUGGUUCAGUAAGUUGGAAGUGAAAUCCCCGGGCUCAACCUGGGAACUGCUGUCAAAACUGCUGAGCUAGAGUACGGUAGAGGGUGGUGGAAUUUCCUGUGUAGCGGUGAAAUGCGUAGAUAUAGGAAGGAACACCAGUGGCGAAGGCGACCACCUGGACUGAUACUGACACUGAGGUGCGAAAGCGUGGGGAGCAAACAGGAUUAGAUACUCCAGUAGUCC
Molecule: ribosomal RNA, 450 nt
Filed under: uncultured bacterium
Lineage: Bacteria
Description: partial 16S ribosomal RNA
Rfam family: Bacterial small subunit ribosomal RNA
Source: RNAcentral